Molecule: ribosomal RNA, 213 nt
Filed under: Salmonella enterica subsp. enterica serovar Enteritidis
Lineage: Bacteria; Pseudomonadati; Pseudomonadota; Gammaproteobacteria; Enterobacterales; Enterobacteriaceae
Description: partial 23S ribosomal RNA
Rfam family: Bacterial large subunit ribosomal RNA
Source: RNAcentral
ACCGUGUACGUACAAGCAGUGGGAGCACAGGUUUACCUGUGUGACUGCGUACCUUUUGUAUAAUGGGUCAGCGACUUAUAUUCUGUAGCAAGGUUAACCGAAUAGGAGAGCCGGAGGGAAACCGAGUCUUAAUUGGGCGUUAAGUUGCAGGGUAUAGACCCGAAACCCGGUGAUCUAGCCAUGGGCAGGUUGAAGGUUGGGUAACACUAACUG